UACGUAGGGUCCGAGCGUUGUCCGGAAUUAUUGGGCGUAAAGAGCUCGUAGGCGGUUUGUCGCGUCUGCUGUGAAAUCCCGAGGCUCAACCUCGGGCCUGCAGUGGGUACGGGCAGACUGGAGUGCGGUAGGGGAGAAUGGAAUUCCUGGUGUAGCGGUGGAAUGCGCAGAUAUCAAGAGGAACACCGAUGGCGAAGGCAGUUCUCUGGGCCGUAACUGACGCUGAGGAGCGAAAGCGUGGGGAGCGAACAGG
RNAcentral lists this ribosomal RNA (253 nucleotides) under uncultured bacterium. RNAcentral describes it as "partial 16S ribosomal RNA". It matches the Rfam family "Bacterial small subunit ribosomal RNA", at positions 524 to 776 of the family's 1533-position model. The record is from RNAcentral.